GACGAACGCUGGCGGCGUGCUUAACACAUGCAAGUCGAACGGUAAGGCCCUGCUUUUGUUGGGUGCUCUAGUGGCGAACGGGUGAGUUACACGUGAGUAACCUGCCCUUGACUUUUGGAUAACUUCAGGAAACUGGGGCUAAUACCGGAUAGGAUCUCCUGCUUCUUGGUGGGGGUUGGAAAGUUUCGGCGGUUGGGGAUGGACUCGCGGCUUUUCAGCUUGUUGGUGGGGUAGUGGCUUACCAAGGCUUUGACGGGUAGCCGGCCUGAGAGGGUGACCGGCAACAUUGGGACUGAGAUACGGCCCAGACUCCUACGGGAGGCAGCAGUGGGGAAUAUUGCAAAAUGGGCGGAAGCCUGAUGCAGCAACGCCGCGUGCGGGAUGAAGGCCUUCGGGUUGUAAACCGCUUUCGCCUGUGACGAAGCGUGAGUGACGGUAAUGGGUAAAGAAGCACCGGCUAACUACGUG
RNAcentral lists this ribosomal RNA (468 nucleotides) under uncultured bacterium. Its description in RNAcentral is "partial 16S ribosomal RNA". It matches the Rfam family "Bacterial small subunit ribosomal RNA", at positions 28 to 507 of the family's 1533-position model. The record is from RNAcentral.